This 474-nucleotide ribosomal RNA is filed under the name uncultured bacterium. Its description in RNAcentral is "bacterial SSU rRNA". It matches the Rfam family "Bacterial small subunit ribosomal RNA", at positions 335 to 801 of the family's 1533-position model. The record is from RNAcentral.
ACUCCUACGGGAGGCAGCAGUAGGGAAUCUUCCACAAUGGGCGCAAGCCUGAUGGAGCAACACCGCGUGAGUGAAGAAGGGUUUCGGCUCGUAAAGCUCUGUUGUUAAAGAAGAACACGUAUGAGAGUAACUGUUCAUACGUUGACGGUAUUUAACCAGAAAGUCACGGCUAACUGCGUGCCAGCAGCCGCGGUAAUACGUAGGUGGCAAGCGUUAUCCGGAUUUAUUGGGGCGUAAAGAGAGUGCAGGCGGUUUUCUAAGUCUGAUGUGAAAGCCUUCGGCUUAACCGGAGAAGUGCAUCGGAAACUGGAUAACUUGAGUGCAGAAGAGGGUAGUGGAACUCCAUGUGUAGCGGUGGAAUGCGUAGAUAUAUGGAAGAACACCAGUGGCGAAGGCGGCUACCUGGUCUGCAACUGACGCUGAGACUCGAAAGCAUGGGUAGCGAACAGGAUUAGAUACCCUGGUAGGAUAGCG